GUAUAUCUCAGUGGUAGAGCAUCUGUUUUCCCCAUAGAAGGUCGCAGGUUCAAUUCCUGGCAUCGCCA
Molecule: non-coding RNA, 68 nt
Organism: Podarcis lilfordi (Lilford's wall lizard)
Lineage: Eukaryota; Metazoa; Chordata; Lepidosauria; Squamata; Lacertidae
Source: the annotation of a GenBank genome assembly